This is a non-coding RNA of Tetranychus urticae (two-spotted spider mite), 1234 nucleotides long. NCBI's taxonomy places the organism in Eukaryota, Metazoa, Arthropoda, Arachnida, Trombidiformes, Tetranychidae. The record is from RefSeq and is a predicted model, not a curated record.
UCUGUCUAAAAUUUUUACAAGCCUGUACAAGCCAUUUUGCACUAGACAUCAUCGUUUUUUUUCAUCUACUGUAAAUCUUUAUGAAGAUUUUUUAUUCCUCUUAUGUCAUUACCUGUUAUCCAGUUGUUCCGGUAAACCACCAAUCGACAUAAGGAAAGUGACAGUUUGAAAGUGAAGCUUGAAGGCUCGCUGAUCCAACUCAUUUUGUCUUACAAUAAAUAGUCAAUACUAAGUCACAACCAUUUUUAAUUUUGUUUUUAUUCUCUCUAUCUCUCUUCCUCUCUCUCUUUUUCUCUUUCUCCCUUCUUCUUCUUCUUCUUCUUCUUCUCUAUUUAUCUGUCCAUUUAAAUUUUUCCCAAGCACAUUUGUUUCAGGAUAACAAACAAAUCAUCUUUAGUGUUCUUUUUUUAUUGUAAUUUUGUUGCAACUAGGAUCUCCAUUCAAACAUCUUUCCUACUCUUGCUUACAUAACAAUUGUUUCAUCUCUUAAAACAAAUCUGAUACCUUCCAUUAAUUCACUGCUUUCUUUUGGAAACCAAGGUGUUCAUCGAAUCAUCCUUUUCUCUCAAUAGUAUAUAAAGUGUCUCCAACCUUCAAAAAACAAUGGAUAAAGAUACACUGCAAAAACAAAUUGAAAACAUGAGAAUUCAAGCACAAAUGGAGCGAUGGCCUCUUUCUAAGUCAAUUCAAGCAUUGCGGGAUUAUAUCGAAGAGAAUGAGCCAAUUGAUCCAUUGAUUCAUGCGCCGGACAAGAAAAACAAUCCAUGGGCUGAAAAAGGAAAAUGCAAUGUAAUGUAACAAUCGGUUAAAAUCUAACAACUUUUAACUUUGACCAAUUUUCACACCAAAACCAACACAUCUACCACCACCAACAACUCUGUCUACAACUGCUUCUACUAUUACUUCUACGAUAAUUAUAAUUAUUAUUAUUAACGACACAUUAUUAAUAAUCCAUUUUUAACAACCAAAAAAGGACAAACCAAACUAUUCAGAUUCAAUUACCUCCGUUAGGAUGUUUCCUUUCAAUUCAUGUGGAAAGAUAACCGAUAUGCGAAGUACAGUAAUUCAUCAGAUCCAUCAUUUCUCAACAAAAUUAAAAACAUCAUUUGAAUCUUCAUUAGACCUCACUUCCUAAGACAAAAGAACCUUCAUAAAGACCUUCCUUCACUUUUCAUUUUUUUCCUAUCUAAAUUAUGAAAUGAGAUUGCUUCUAAUAAAUAAAGGUUAAAUAACU